RNAcentral lists this ribosomal RNA (1146 nucleotides) under Escherichia coli. RNAcentral describes it as "partial 23S ribosomal RNA". It matches the Rfam family "Bacterial large subunit ribosomal RNA", at positions 1 to 1153 of the family's 2925-position model. Lineage: Bacteria; Pseudomonadati; Pseudomonadota; Gammaproteobacteria; Enterobacterales; Enterobacteriaceae. The record is from RNAcentral.
CAAAAAGUAAGUAAGGGCACAUGGCGGAUGCCUUGGCUCUCGGAGGCGAUGAAGGACGUGAUAAGCUGCGAUAAGCUGCGGGUAGGUGCAAAUAACCUUUGAUCCGCGGAUUUCCGAAUGGGACAACCCGAUACUUUGAAGAAGUAUCAUCCUACCACGUAGGAGGCUAACGCAGGGAACUGAAACAUCUUAGUACCUGCAGGAAAAGAAAAUAAAUAAUGAUUCCCCUAGUAGUGGCGAGCGAACGGGGAACAGCCCAAACCAUCCAUGUUACGGCAUGGCUGGGGUUGUAGGACCACGCUGUGGCAAGAAAACUGAUGAGAAGAAUGUUCUGGAAAGUUCAACCAUAGAGCAUGAUAGUUGCGUAUUCGAAGUCAGUCGAAGCCUAGUGGUAUCCUGAGUAGCGCGGAGCACGAGGAAUUCUGCGUGAAUCUGCCGGGACCAUCCGGUAAGGCUAAAUACUCCCGAGAGACCGAUAGUGAACCAGUACUGUGAAGGAAAGGUGAAAAGCACUUCGAACAGAAGAGUGAAAUAGUUCCUGAAACCAUGUGCCUACAAGCGGUCGGAGCACCUUCUGGUGUGACGGCGUGCCUUUUGCAUAAUGAACCUACGAGUUACUUUUUCCGGCAAGGUUAAGGGUCUCAGACCCGGAUCCGAAGCGAAAGCGAGUCUGAACAGGGCGUAUAGUCGGAAGGAGUAGACGCGAAACCAAGUGAUCUACCCUUGGGCAGGUUGAAGGAUGGGUAACACCAUCUGGAGGACCGAACCAAUAAGCGUUGAAAAGCUUCUGGAUGACCUGAGGGUGGGGGUGAAAGGCUAAUCAAACUUGGAGAUAGCUCGUACUCCCCGAAAUGCAUUUAGGUGCAGCCUUGACUUAUACUGACAUGAGGUAGAGCGACUGAUAAGAUGCGAGGGCUUCACCGCCUAUCAAGUCUUGACAAACUCCGAAUGCGUGUCAGUUCUAUGUCAGGAGUGAGGGCAUGGGUGCUAAGGUCCAUGUCCUAAAGGAGAACAAUCCGGACCAACAGCUAAGGUCCCGAAAUGAAUACUAAGUUGAACUAACGAAGUCAGAUUGCUAAGACAGCUAGGAUGUUGGCUUGGAAGCAGCCAUUCAUUUAAAGAGUGCGUAACAGCUCACUAGUCGAG